CCUACGGGGGGCAGCAGUGGGGAAUAUUGCACAAUGGGGGGAACCCUGAUGCAGCGACGCCGCGUGAGUGAAGAAGUAUUUCGGUAUGUAAAGCUCUAUCAGCAGGGAAGAAAAUGACGGUACCUGACUAAGAAGCCCCGGCUAACUACGUGCCAGCAGCCGCGGUAAUACGUAGGGGGCAAGCGUUAUCCGGAUUUACUGGGUGUAAAGGGAGCGUAGACGGUUAUGCAAGUCUGAAGUGAAAGCCCAAGGCUCAACUUCGGAAUUGCCUCUGAUACUGUUCGGCUAGAGAGUAGUUGCGGUAGGCGGAAUGUAUGGUGUAGCGGUGAAAUGCUUAGAGAUCAUACAGAACACCAGUGGCGAAGGCGGCUUGCUGGGUCGAUACUGACAUUGAGGCACGAAAGCGUGGGGAGCAAACAGGAUUAGAUACCCCAGUAGUC
This 440-nucleotide ribosomal RNA is filed under the name uncultured bacterium. RNAcentral's name for it is "partial 16S ribosomal RNA". It matches the Rfam family "Bacterial small subunit ribosomal RNA", at positions 338 to 795 of the family's 1533-position model. The record is from RNAcentral.